This 444-nucleotide ribosomal RNA is filed under the name uncultured bacterium. RNAcentral describes it as "SSU rRNA". It matches the Rfam family "Bacterial small subunit ribosomal RNA", at positions 26 to 518 of the family's 1533-position model. The record is from RNAcentral.
AGAGCGAACGCUGGCGGCAGGCCUAAAACAUGCAAGUCGAACGGACCCUUCGGGGUUAGUGGCGGACGGGUGAGUAACACGUGGGAACGUGCCUUUUGGUUCGGAACAACUCAGGGAAACUUGAGCUAAUACCGAAUGUGCCCUUCGGGGGAAAGAUUUAUCGCCAUUAGAGCGGCCCGCGUCUGAUUAGCUAGUUGGUGAGGUAAAGGCUCACCAAGGCUACGAUCAGUAGCUGGUCUGAGAGGAUGAUCAGCCACACUGGGACUGAGACACGGCCCAGACUCCUACGGGAGGCAGCAGUUAGGAAUCUUGCGCAAUGGGCAAAGCCUGACGCAGCCAUGCCGCGUGAAUGAUGAAGGUCUUAGGAUUGUAAAAUUCUUUCAGCGGGACGAUAAUGACGGUACCCGCAGAAGAAGCUCCGGCUAACUUCGUGCCAGCAGCCGC